Molecule: ribosomal RNA, 851 nt
Filed under: uncultured bacterium
Lineage: Bacteria
Description: bacterial SSU rRNA
Rfam family: Bacterial small subunit ribosomal RNA
Source: RNAcentral
GUGGGUGAUCUGCCCUGCACUUUGGGAUAAGCCUGGGAAACUGGGUCUAAUACCGAAUAGGACCACGCGCUUCAUGGUGUGUGGUGGAAAGCUUUUGCGGUGUGGGAUGGGCCCGCGGCCUAUCAGCUUGUUGGUGGGGUAAUGGCCUACCAAGGCGACGACGGGUAGCCGGCCUGAGAGGGUGACCGGCCACACUGGGACUGAGAUACGGCCCAGACUCCUACGGGAGGCAGCAGUGGGGAAUAUUGCACAAUGGGCGCAAGCCUGAUGCAGCGACGCCGCGUGAGGGAUGACGGCCUUCGGGUUGUAAACCUCUUUCAAUAGGGACGAAGCGCAAGUGACGGUACCUAUAGAAGAAGCACCGGCCAACUACGUGCCAGCAGCCGCGGUAAUACGUAGGGUGCGAGCGUUGUCCGGAAUUACUGGGCGUAAAGAGCUCGUAGGUGGUUUGUCGCGUUGUUCGUGAAAACUCACAGCUUAACUGUGGGCGUGCGGGCGAUACGGGCAGACUAGAGUACUGCAGGGGAGACUGGAAUUCCUGGUGUAGCGGUGGAAUGCGCAGAUAUCAGGAGGAACACCGGUGGCGAAGGCGGGUCUCUGGGCAGUGACUGACGCUGAGGAGCGAAAGCGUGGGGAGCGAACAGGAUUAGAUACCCUGGUAGUCCACGCCGUAAACGGUGGGUACUAGGUGUGGGUUCCUUCCUUGGGAUCCGUGCCGUAGCUAACGCAUUAAGUACCCCGCCUGGGGAGUACGGCCGCAAGGCUAAAACUCAAAGGAAUUGACGGGGGCCCGCACAAGCGGCGGAGCAUGUGGAUUAAAUUCGAUGCACGCGAAGAACCUUACCUGGGUU